This 419-nucleotide ribosomal RNA is filed under the name uncultured bacterium. RNAcentral's name for it is "bacterial SSU rRNA". It matches the Rfam family "Bacterial small subunit ribosomal RNA", at positions 355 to 787 of the family's 1533-position model. The record is from RNAcentral.
UGGGGAAUAUUGCACAAUGGGGGAAACCCUGAUGCAGCGACGCCGCGUGAGCGAAGAAGUAUUUCGGUAUGUAAAGCUCUAUCAGCAGGGAAAGAAAUGACGGUACCUGACUAAGAAGCCCCGGCUAACUACGUGCCAGCAGCCGCGGUAAUACGUAGGGGGCAAGCGUUAUCCGGAUUUACUGGGUGUAAAGGGAGCGUAGACGGCAUGACAAGCCAGAUGUGAAAAGCCCGAGGGCUCCAAGCCCUGGGACUGCAUUUGGAACUGCCAGGCUGGAGUGCAGGAGAGGUAAGCGGAAUUCCUAGUGUAGCGGUGAAAUGCGUAGAUAUUAGGAGGAACACCAGUGGCGAAGGCGGCUUACUGGACUGUAACUGACGUUGAGGCUCGAAAGCGUGGGGAGCAAACAGGAUUAGAUACCC